Molecule: ribosomal RNA, 420 nt
Filed under: uncultured Glomeraceae
Lineage: Eukaryota; Fungi; Glomeromycota; Glomeromycetes; Glomerales; Glomeraceae
Description: SSU rRNA
Rfam family: Eukaryotic small subunit ribosomal RNA
Source: RNAcentral
GGGAGGUAGUGACAAUAAAUAACAAUACGGGGUUCUUCGAAUCUCGUAAUUGGAAUGAGUACAAUUUAAAUCUCUUAACGAGGAACAAUUGGAGGGCAAGUCUGGUGCCAGCAGCCGCGGUAAUUCCAGCUCCAAUAGCGUAUAUUAAAGUUGUUGCAGUUAAAAAGCUCGUAGUUGAAUUUCGGGGUCAGCAGGUUGGUCUUGCCACUGGUAUGUACUAGCUUGCUGAUUCCUCCUUCUUGUAGAACCGUAAUGACAUUAAUUUGGUGUCGUGGGGAAUCAGGACUGUUACUUUGAAAAAUUAGAGUGUUUAAAGCAAGCAUUAGCUUGAAUACAUUAGCAUGGAAUAAUGAAAUAGGACGUUUGAUCCUAUUUCGUUGGUUUCUAGGAUCGACGUAAUGAUUAAUAGGGAUAGUUGGG